RNAcentral lists this ribosomal RNA (461 nucleotides) under Staphylococcus pseudintermedius. Its description in RNAcentral is "bacterial LSU rRNA". It matches the Rfam family "Bacterial large subunit ribosomal RNA", at positions 2099 to 2559 of the family's 2925-position model. The record is from RNAcentral. Lineage: Bacteria; Bacillati; Bacillota; Bacilli; Caryophanales; Staphylococcaceae.
CUUUACUUUAGCCUUAUAAUAAAAUUCGGUACCGUUUUUCACGGAGAGGUAGGAGCCAUAGCAGCGUGAGCGCUAGCUUAAGUGGAGGCAUUGGUGCGAUACUACCAUAAUUAUAUUGGAUUUCAACCCCGCAACUCUUAUCAUGCUGGGAGACAAUGUCAGGCGGGCAAUUGGACUGAGGCGGUAGCGUCCUGAAGAGUAUCAGAGGCGCUCAAAGGUUCCCUCAGAAUGGUUUUAACUCAUUCAUAGAGUAUAAAGGCAUAUGGUAGCUUUGCUGCUAAGUCUGCAGGUCGAGCGGGGUAGAAAGACGGACUUAGUAAUCCGGUGGUUCCGCAUGGCGGGGCCAUCGCUCAACGGAUAUCAGCUACCCCGGGGACAACAGGCUUAUCUCCCCCAAGAGUUCCCAUCGACGGGGAGGUUUGGCACCUAGAUGUCGGCUCAUCGCAUCGUGGAGCAGUAGU